Non-coding RNA from Schistosoma haematobium, 45 nucleotides. NCBI's taxonomy places the organism in Eukaryota, Metazoa, Platyhelminthes, Trematoda, Strigeidida, Schistosomatidae. The record is from Rfam.
AUUCAGCUGACAUGUCUAAAACAGGAUGAAACACGUGUCCUGAUU